Callipepla squamata (scaled quail) is the source of this 115-nucleotide transfer RNA. It matches the Rfam family "tRNA". From Rfam's summary of the family: Transfer RNA (tRNA) molecules are approximately 80 nucleotides in length. Their secondary structure includes four short double-helical elements and three loops (D, anti-codon, and T loops). NCBI's taxonomy places the organism in Eukaryota, Metazoa, Chordata, Aves, Galliformes, Odontophoridae. The record is from Rfam.
GUCAGGAUGGCCGAGUGGUCUAAGGCGCCAGACUCAAGGCGUGCCGCGCCUUCCCAUGGCGGUUGGGUAUUCUGGUCUCCGAAUGGAGGCGUGGGUUCGAAUCCCACUUCUGACA